UUGGUUCAGGACGAACGCUGGCGGCGUGCCUAAUACAUGCAAGUCGAGCGGACUUGAUGGAGUGCUUGCACUCCUGAUGGUUAGCGGCGGACGGGUGAGUAACACGUAGGCAACCUGCCCUCAAGACUGGGAUAACUACCGGAAACGGUAGCUAAUACCGGAUAAUUUAUUUUGCAGCAUUGUGGAAUAAUGAAAGGCGGAGCAAUCUGUCACUUGAGGAUGGGCCUGCGGCGCAUUAGCUAGUUGGUGGGGUAACGGCCCACCAAGGCGACGAUGCGUAGCCGACCUGAGAGGGUGAACGGCCACACUGGGACUGAGACACGGCCCAGACUCCUACGGGAGGCAGCAGUAGGGAAUCUUCCGCAAUGGGCGAAAGCCUGACGGAGCAACGCCGCGUGAGUGAUGAAGGUUUUCGGAUCGUAAAGCUCUGUUGCCAAGGAAGAACGUCUUCUAGAGUAACUGCUAGGAGAGUGACGGUACUUGAGAAGAAAGCCCCGGCUAACUACGUGCCAGCAGCCGC
This 520-nucleotide ribosomal RNA is filed under the name Paenibacillus lautus. RNAcentral's name for it is "bacterial SSU rRNA". It matches the Rfam family "Bacterial small subunit ribosomal RNA", at positions 19 to 518 of the family's 1533-position model. The record is from RNAcentral. Lineage: Bacteria; Bacillati; Bacillota; Bacilli; Caryophanales; Paenibacillaceae.